AUGUUUAAGUUGUAUAUAACUGUGUAUUUUUCUAGUCCUAUAUUCUUCCAGUCCUAUGCGUGUGUAUAUAUUGGCCUUUGUCCUUAUAGAAAUCCAGGUUACAUAUUUCCUCGCAUGGUAUUAGAGCCAAUUGAAGAGAAGCUUGUCCAACAUCGUCUGAGAUGGUUUGGGCAUAUCCAGCGCAGGCCUCCAGAAGCUCCAGUGCAUAGCGGACGGCUAAAGCGUGCGGAGAAUGUCAAGAGAGGGCGGGGUAGACCGAAUUUGACAUGGGAGGAGUCCGUUAAGAGAGACCUGAAGGAUUGGAGUAUCACCAAUGAGCUAGCUAUGGACAGGGGUGCAUGGAAGCUUGCUAUCCAUGUGCCAGAGCCAUGA
RNAcentral lists this ribosomal RNA (372 nucleotides) under Triticum aestivum (bread wheat). RNAcentral's name for it is "partial small subunit ribosomal RNA". Lineage: Eukaryota; Viridiplantae; Streptophyta; Magnoliopsida; Poales; Poaceae. The record is from RNAcentral.